RNAcentral lists this long non-coding RNA (988 nucleotides) under Anser brachyrhynchus (Pink-footed goose). RNAcentral's name for it is "lncRNA (ENSABRG00000015576.1)". Lineage: Eukaryota; Metazoa; Chordata; Aves; Anseriformes; Anatidae. The record is from RNAcentral.
AUCCUCCAGAUCAUUACACAGGUUAGCUCUCCCCCUGCUUGCCCACCAGUCACAGGAUUCAAACAAUGAGCUUCAAAUUAUGCUGAGAAUAAAUGGAGAUAAACAGCAAGCCCAAGGAGGCAAAUAAGACGAACACCUUGAAGAAGAACCGGUCAGAAUGGGGAAAAAGGUUUUGAAAAUAUUGGCAGGAUAUGGCGUUGGGUAACUACCUGCACCCUGGUCUGGUUCUUCCUCAUUUGAAGGUAAAUAGUCAAAGUGAAGGAUUUGCCAUAUUAUAUGAAGUUAUUGUAAAACAAAAUUUGUUAGCAGAGACCACCAGCAGCUUCAGAAGAAAGUGAUUAUACCCAGUCCAGUGAUGUACAAAAUAUUUUUAGAGAGUUGAUUUUGUUUUCAAGCUAUGUAUCAGGAUAUCAGUUCCUUUUGUCAAUGUAUAGAGACCAAUGGCAAGAACAUCCAAUAUCUGUGUGAGUGCUUCGUUGUAUAUUUGAUUCGGCAUACUGCAUCUCCUAAUUCUGUUCCUGAAAUACAACUGUAAUGAUGUUGUUCAGUUUCAGUAUGCUCUUGUAUACCCUCAUGCAAUGUAAUAUCAAAAUGCUUUCUGUUACUAAGAGAAGUGUGUGUGUGAAUACAACUUUGUGUAUGAAGCACUUCCUUCUGUCUCUUAGCCUGUUGAGAAACAAGUUUGAUUGUUUUAUAGAAUUUUGCUUUGUUUGAAGAAAUUAUUGAGAGAUGGAAACCUCAUCUUUCAGCUAGAAAGAUGAGGUUUGCCGUGAAGAUUGUAAGUGAAUUUAUUUUUCUCUCCUCAGGGAGGAAGGUCCAUAGUCCACAUCCAGCUCCUCCAAAAGUUGUCUCCUUCUCUCAGGAGCAUCCUGCCUGUUUGCAGGCACGUUCGUUGUUUGGAAGAACAUGGCUGUCAUGGAAGGUCGUGGUCAGAGAAGGGGAAGGAGGUCUCACAGGAUAUAUAACUUCACUCCGAGAUCUGAGUUGA